Non-coding RNA from Paramuricea clavata, 251 nucleotides. The record is from the annotation of a GenBank genome assembly. Lineage: Eukaryota; Metazoa; Cnidaria; Anthozoa; Malacalcyonacea; Plexauridae.
UGAAAAAAGGUGAUUAAACAACCGACUUCGGAAGUAUGCAUGCUAUACGGGUGCAAUGUACUGGCUAAAGUACUGAUUUUUAGUUGCACCUACCGACUGCGGUAUCUGUUCACGUGAUGAUUUCUCGUCCUGUAUAGAAGACUGUUUCUUCAUCUGUGGUUUUGUUGUGUUCGUCUUUAACGUUACACGGAUAUACUGCACAAUUUCACUUUCAUCUGGAUUGUUGAUGAGAUUAACAUGAUCUAAAAUCU